CCUACGGGAGGCAGCAGUGAGGAAUAUUGGUCAAUGGGCGCAAGCCUGAACCAGCCAAGUCGCGUGAGGGGUGACGGUCCUAUGGAUUGUAAACCUCUUUUGUCGGGGAGCAAGGCCCGCCACGUGUGGCGGGAAGGAGAGUACCCGAAGAAAAAGCAUCGGCUAACUCCGUGCCAGCAGCCGCGGUAAUACGGAGGAUGCGAGGGUUAUCCGGAUUUAUUGGGUUUAAAGGGUGCGUAGGCGGAAGGUUAAGUCAGCGGUAAAAUGUCGGGGCGCAACACCGGCCUGCCGUUGAAACUGGUCUUCUUGAGUGAGCGAGAAGUAUGCGGAAUGCGUGGUGUAGCGGUGAAAUGCAUAGAUAUCACGCAGAACUCCGAUUGCGAAGGCAGCAUACCGGCGCUCAACUGACGCUGAGGCACGAAAGCGUGGGGAUCGAACAGGAUUAGAUACCCCAGUAGUC
RNAcentral lists this ribosomal RNA (460 nucleotides) under uncultured bacterium. RNAcentral describes it as "partial 16S ribosomal RNA". It matches the Rfam family "Bacterial small subunit ribosomal RNA", at positions 338 to 795 of the family's 1533-position model. The record is from RNAcentral.